GCCCGGGUGGCGGAACUGGCAGACGCGCACGACUCAAAAUCGUGUAUCGCAAGAUGUGUGGGUUCGACCCCCACCCCGGGCA
Molecule: transfer RNA, 82 nt
Filed under: Candidatus Harrisonbacteria bacterium CG10_big_fil_rev_8_21_14_0_10_40_38
Lineage: Bacteria; Candidatus Harrisoniibacteriota
Description: tRNA-Leu
Rfam family: tRNA
About the family: Transfer RNA (tRNA) molecules are approximately 80 nucleotides in length.
Source: RNAcentral